CUGCAAUGAGCCCUCCAGAAUGCAGACGUCUGGUCUGGUGGAACUCAAUAGAUUUCUGUUUGCUGCAUGUGCUGCGGGUGCACACACACACAUGCACAAAUGACCACUUUAUGAAAGCAUUUGCGUGCAAUAAAAAGUUAAUUUUUUUCACACUUAAAAUCAGCUUCGCCACCUGCAGUGAUUAUCAAGCAAGCUUCAUUUGGAGACAGAUUUGGAGGCUGGCGGCUCUUUGGCUCUGAGAAAAUCCCUGAAGAAAACAUCUUGGACACCCUGAGGCAUCACCUCACAAGUUGGACACCUGAAAUGCCUUCUAGCAGCAAAACUCAUUCAAAGGAAAUGUGCUCGUCCUUUUCAGCGUGAAUGAACCAGUUCAUAAGCGUGAUGUUGCUGCGUGGAUUGCCCUGACUGACAUCCUGGAGCUGGAACCCAGUGACUGCACCCAUUUGCACAACAGCCAGUACAAAAUGGGCGCAGAAAUGAAGUACAUUCCCACUGUUUAUUUCACUGGCCAGGAAAGAGGAUGCUCCCAACUCCCAUCCUCAGUCUGAGAAGAGUGCCAGCUUUGGGUGGGAUUGUGGAUAUGUAAAUAUCCACCCGUGAGGAACACGCUGAGACCAGAGAAUUGCUCUGCAAAAGACUGACUGCUGGUGUGGAUGUUUUCAAAGUUAGCAGUGUGAUCGCUUGAAUUGGACUAUGAUAUUCUUAUUUUGAAAGCAGAGUCCAAUGGGCAAAUUAAUUUCUGAAGGCAUAGCUGAAUGCCUGACUGCCAAAGUGGAUAAUGAGCGUAUCACCAGUGAGUCAGAGGGGAGGCAGCAAUAAAACGGAGCGAGGCUGGACAGCAAUAAAGCAGCAGAGAGGGAAGCUCACACCUUGGCAUCAUGCUCAUCUUUGCUCUGGAGGGAGUGUGUAAAAAAGACAACAUCCAAAGCUCUUAGAAAUUAAGCUCUAAUGAGUCUCAUGGAAGGAACCCAUAACAAGGGAUCUGUGGGGGCUGAAGGAAUUUGGAACUACAGACAGCCAACCCAGUAGUGUGUACAUAUCUGUAGCUGCUGGAGAGCAGUGCAUCUCAG
This 1070-nucleotide long non-coding RNA is filed under the name Gallus gallus (chicken). RNAcentral describes it as "lncRNA (ENSGALG00010004062.1)". The record is from RNAcentral. Lineage: Eukaryota; Metazoa; Chordata; Aves; Galliformes; Phasianidae.